UACGUAGGGUGCGAGCGUUGUCCGGAAUUACUGGGCGUAAAGAGCUCGUAGGUGGUUUGUCGCGUUGUUCGUGAAAACCUGAGGCUUAACCUUGGGCGUGCGGGCGAUACGGGCAGACUGGAGUACUGCAGGGGAGACUGGAAUUCCUGGUGUAGCGGUGGAAUGCGCAGAUAUCAGGAGGAACACCGGUGGCGAAGGCGGGUCUCUGGGCAUUAACUGACGCUGAGGAGCGAAAGCAUGGGGAGCGAACAGG
This 253-nucleotide ribosomal RNA is filed under the name uncultured bacterium. Its description in RNAcentral is "partial 16S ribosomal RNA". It matches the Rfam family "Bacterial small subunit ribosomal RNA", at positions 524 to 776 of the family's 1533-position model. The record is from RNAcentral.